GUGGGGAAUAUUGGACAAUGGGCGAAAGCCUGAUCCAGCCAUGCCGCGUGUGUGAAGAAGGUCUUCGGAUUGUAAAGCACUUUAAGUUGGGAGGAAGGGCAGUAAGUUAAUACCUUGCUGUUUUGACGUUACCAACAGAAUAAGCACCGGCUAACUUCGUGCCAGCAGCCGCGGUAAUACGAAGGGUGCAAGCGUUAAUCGGAAUUACUGGGCGUAAAGCGCGCGUAGGUGGUUCAGCAAGUUGGAGGUGAAAUCCCCGGGCUCAACCUGGGAACUGCCUCAAAAACUACUGAGCUAGAGUACGGUAGAGGGUAGUGGAAUUUCCUGUGUAGCGGUGAAAUGCGUAGAUAUAGGAAGGAACACCAGUGGCGAAGGCGACUACCUGGACUGAUACUGACACUGAGGUGCGAAAGCGUGGGGAGCAAACAGGAUUAGAAACCCCAGUAGUCC
RNAcentral lists this ribosomal RNA (450 nucleotides) under uncultured bacterium. Its description in RNAcentral is "partial 16S ribosomal RNA". It matches the Rfam family "Bacterial small subunit ribosomal RNA", at positions 354 to 796 of the family's 1533-position model. The record is from RNAcentral.